Small nuclear RNA from Lontra canadensis (Northern American river otter), 138 nucleotides. RefSeq annotates it as U4 spliceosomal RNA. NCBI's taxonomy places the organism in Eukaryota, Metazoa, Chordata, Mammalia, Carnivora, Mustelidae. The transcript has a single exon. The record is from RefSeq and is a predicted model, not a curated record.
AGCUUUGCACAGUGGCAGUACCGUAGCCAAUGAGGUUUAUCCGAGGCGCGAUUAUUGCUAAUUGAAAACAUACCUAAGAAGAUGCACAUGUGGGAUUCUCUGCAUCCCAGUAAAUGAUGGUGUAGAGCUGUAGGAUCU